RNAcentral lists this long non-coding RNA (222 nucleotides) under Gossypium raimondii (Peruvian cotton). Its description in RNAcentral is "long non-coding RNA (GRAI_LNC001775)". Lineage: Eukaryota; Viridiplantae; Streptophyta; Magnoliopsida; Malvales; Malvaceae. The record is from RNAcentral.
UUUAUUUUAAAUUGGUCUGCAAACAUCAAAACAUUUUAAUUACAUCCAAAACUAUCCUUGUUAAAUCGAUCAGACACUUUCGUUAUGAAACUAUUAAUUUAACCAUUAAAUGACAUGUAAAAUUUUAUACGACAUAAUUUAAAACGAAACUUUUAAAGAAAAGUAAAAUGUUGUUGCAUUACUCUUAAAAUUAAAAACUAAAAAUAAAAUAACCCCUCCCCC